Molecule: non-coding RNA, 504 nt
Organism: Nylanderia fulva
Lineage: Eukaryota; Metazoa; Arthropoda; Insecta; Hymenoptera; Formicidae
Source: RefSeq, a predicted model, not a curated record
AAGCCUCGAAAUAACGCACCUAAACAGCGUAAUUUUGACUAUUAAAUUAGUUGUCGCGAGGAGUACCGUGAUCACCCUCACGCUACUUUACUAUCACGCGAAUAGGGAAAAGCCGUGGAAAGCCCUAAUUGGCUGUCGCGCGUUAUACACCCUACUCGCCGAAUUCGCUCGGCUGCCAAAAGUGAGUUGACAGAUUCGGCAGUUUGUCGUGACCGCGAGUGUAAGUGUGACGAAGAGUUAGAUAGAGUCCUUUUCUCGAUAGAAAGGACUUGAAUUUUGUAAUUAAAGUUAUUGUUACAGGGACUUUUGUGGAAUGUCUGAGAUCAUCCAAUUACAAAGCAGACAAAUUGUUGAAAUUACUUUUCGAUGAAUUCGAGUCAUAUAUGGAGACGAAGCAAUAUACGGUGAAGAAAAGACUUGAUAAGGACCUGAACUAAGGUCAAAACGUUGUUUGAAUUUUGAAUAAAUAACUAAAGAAUAACAUUGCCAGUUGUGAUCGGUUUA